UUGAACGCUGGCGGCAUGCCUAACACAUGCAAGUCGAACGGGUUGUAGCAAUACAACUAGUGGCGGACGGGUGAGGAAUACAUAGGAAUUUGCCUUUAGGUGGGGGAUAGUCCGGGGAAACUCGGUUUAAUACCGCAUGAUGUCGAAAGACCAAAGCAGGGGAUCGUAAGACCUUGCGCCUUUAGAGAAGCCUAUGUCGGAUUAGCUAGUUGGUAGGGUAAUGGCCUACCAAGGCGACGAUCCGUAACUGGUCUGAGAGGACGAUCAGUCACACCGGAACUGAGACACGGUCCGGACUCCUACGGGAGGCAGCAGUGGGGAAUAUUGGACAAUGGGCGAAAGCCUGAUCCAGCAAUGCCGCGUGUGUGAAGAAGGCCUUCGGGUUGUAAAGCACUUUAGGCUGGGAAGAAAAAGCUUCACCUAAUACGUGAAGCCUUGACGGUACCAGCGGAAUAAGCACCGGCUAACUCUGU
Molecule: ribosomal RNA, 473 nt
Filed under: uncultured bacterium
Lineage: Bacteria
Description: bacterial SSU rRNA
Rfam family: Bacterial small subunit ribosomal RNA
Source: RNAcentral